RNAcentral lists this transfer RNA (84 nucleotides) under Candidatus Riesia sp. RNAcentral's name for it is "tRNA-Leu". It matches the Rfam family "tRNA". From Rfam's summary of the family: Transfer RNA (tRNA) molecules are approximately 80 nucleotides in length. The record is from RNAcentral. Lineage: Bacteria; Pseudomonadati; Pseudomonadota; Gammaproteobacteria; Enterobacterales; Enterobacteriaceae.
GCGAAAGUGGCGGAAUGGUAGACGCACUGGAUUUAGGGUCCAGCAGGAUUUUAUCCUAUAAGAGUUCAAGUCUCUUCUUUCGCA